This 4273-nucleotide long non-coding RNA is filed under the name Aquilegia coerulea. RNAcentral's name for it is "long non-coding RNA (ACOE_LNC001571)". Lineage: Eukaryota; Viridiplantae; Streptophyta; Magnoliopsida; Ranunculales; Ranunculaceae. The record is from RNAcentral.
UAGCCUCCAGUUUGAAACUCGUUUCAGCACCCAGACCUAAAUGAAGCUCCAUGAUGGAAACACAAGACCCUGAAAGAAAAAGGUUGCAAUCAAAGAGACAAACUUAUGCAUCUUCAAAAAUGGAGGCAUUGUAUAGUCUGUUUCUCCAUGAAAGUAUUAAAUGUAAAUUUGUACAAACAAUCAAAGAUAAAUCAAUAUGGUAAACAAUCCAAAGGGAUCAUGAUUGUGGUGAUGCCAGGAAGCUGUGCUUUUGGUAAAUGUAAUACCUUUGGGGAACAAAGCCAGCAAUUGUCACUGAAAUGAUUAAAUAAGUGCACUUCUCUGGUCCAGUCUCCAUUUUUGUGUGUAGUAGUAGUUUGGCAAACCUAUAAUAGCUACAUUACUCAUUUCAACCAAAUCAGCAGACUUCAUUUACUUGUUCUUCAACAUAGACUUGUUUUUCUUUUGGAAAGAAUAGAAUGUACUUAAAAGGGGGGAAGACAAAGCAGGGAAAGAAGAUUCCUUCCAAUUUCAUAUUCAUCUGUCCCUGAGAUAUAGGAAAACAAGGACCUAACAGGUGCUUCAAGUUGAACAUGGUUAUCAAUCAUGCCACAUGUCCACAUACUAAAUCAUUCUGGUCAAUGGUCAUCAGAUAAUAUAAGACAAAACUCCCUUUCUUCUCGGUGCUUAUAUCCAUUCAUUAACAAUCUGACAUUUCUCCUUUCAUUCUGUUUUUCAGUCUCUUCCUCUCUGUUCCUUUGUCAUUCAUCAUCUGUUAGAUUUUGGUUUGGUUGUGUUUGGAUACAAAACAUGAGUUCUGAAUCGCAAACACAUAUCCUUGGAAAUAUAACAUAUAUAUGCCAGUAUCCAGAUGAGACUAUAUCGAUAAAUUCAAAGGGUGCGUUAUUGGGGGAUAACCCUUUGAGCUACUCUGUACCUCUCCUCAUGUUGCAGCUCUCUAUUAUUUCCCUACUUUGCUCUGCCACCAAUUACUGUCUCAGACCCCUUGGGCAAUCUUCCGUUGUUACACAGAUACUUGUAAGUUUCUUUUUGCGCUUAUUUUGUUCACAAACGUUAAUGUUCGUUGGGGCUUAAGAGAUCAAAUUUACUAUAUAGAUUUCAAUACACAAAAUACUAAUGGGACACUGCGAAUCUGUUAUUCAUGAAAACAGGCAGGUAUAAUCCUCGGGCCUUCGCUUAUGGGCCACAAUGAAACAUUCUCUAACAAUAUAUUCCCAAGAAGCAGCCACAACACACUGGAAACAAUUGCGUCAUUUGGCGUGAUGUUCUUCCUAUUUCAAACAGGAGUAAAGACAGAUACAGGCUUGGUAAAGCAACAUGGACACAAGAGCAUAGUUAUAGGUGUUUUCGUGUUCUUCUUUCCAUUGGUAAUUGCAGUAUCACUGGCAUUGGUAUUAAGACAUUUGGUAGAAAUGGACAAAAGUCUAGCAGGAGCUCUACCCAUGAUCGCUGGAUCAUUGUCAUUUACAGGCUUCCCAGUUAUAUCUUGCCACCUGACGGAGCUCAAGAUGAUCAACACGGAGCUUGGCCGUCUUGCAAUAUCUUCAUCUCUGAUUACUGACUUAUUUGGUAUUUCCAUGACAGCUGUUAGUUUGGCAUUACAGCAAAGCCAGAGUGACCCACUAGAUGCAAUUCUAGGGAUAGCUUCAACAAUUGCGAUGGUGGCCUUCAUAGUGUGGGUUAUCCGACCAAUGGCAAUAUCGAUGAUUAAACACACUCCAUUAGGAGAGUCUGUGAAAGAAUUGCAUAUUUUUUCCAUCUUCAUAGCAAUACUGGUUGUCGGGUUUGUCAGCGAGAGCAUAGGGCAACACUUUAUUUUGGGACCAUUAGUUUUAGGCUUAGCCUUGCCAGAUGGACCUCCAUUAGGUGCAGAGCUAGUAGAAAAGCUCGAGGCUUUUGUUUCUUAUGUUCUCUUUCCAACAUACCUUGCUGUCAGCGGAUUGAAGACAAACGUGUAUACUAUAAAACUGAGGUCCAUCUGGAUCAUGGCAACUAUUGUCAUUUUCGCUUUCUUGGUGAAGGUUGUGGCUGCUAUGUUACCUUGUCUUUACUGCGACAUGCCGUGGCGGGAAGCUUUCGUCCUUGGUCUCACAAUGAACACCAAGGGAAUUGUUGAACUUCUUCUUUAUAAUGUUUGGAAGAACAGCAAUGUAAGCACUUCAUCCUCCACAAACAUUUACUUGAUCGAUAGGUCUAUAAGAUAUGCCUCUGUCUGUCUGUCUGUCUCUGUCUCUCUCUCUCUCUCUCUCUCUCUCUCUCACACACACACACACACACUCGUACACUUGAAAUUCAUUAAAAACUCUAAACCUUUUGUUACUUGUCAUGACAGAUUUUGCAGGACCAAGAAUUUGCACUUUCAGUUUUCUCAGUGGUAAUGCUUACUGCAUUCAUAUCACCAUUGAUGAGAAUUCUCUAUGAUCCUUCCAAGAGAUUUGUAUCCUCAAAGAAGAACAGCAUACAACAUGCCAAACACUGUGCAGAGCUUCGCAUACUAGUCUGUGUUCACAAACAAGAACAUGUCCCCAGUAUUAUCAACAUUCUCGAUAUCUCUCAUCCGACGAUAGAGACACCUAUUGCUGUAGUUCUCCUCCAACUCGUGGAGCUUCUUGGUCGCGCUGCUCCUAUCCUUGUAGCCCACCAACCCAAUCAUACUUACAUGUGUGGAAACACCCGUACUCAGAACAUAGUCAAUGCUUUCAAAAUUUAUGAGAUGCAGACCCAAGGUUUAACCUGUGUUCAACCCUUCACAGCAAUUGCACAUUUCGCAACCAUGCAUGACGACAUUUGCAACCUUGCAAUCGAUAAGAGGGUGAACUUUGUUAUCACCCCAUUUCAUAAGGAAUUGGGCAAUGGUAAGGUGAUUUCAGAAAACCGUUCCAUGAGAAAAAUGAAUUGCAACAUCCUAGAAAAGGCUCCUUGUUCAGUGGGAAUCUUUAUAAACCGUAACAUACUUAGUGGUUCACUAUCCAUCAUAAAAAGCCGAGCAUGCUAUCGUGUUGCUGUGCUCUUCAUGGGUGGGAACGAUGAUGGAGAAACACUAGCCUAUGGUGCACGGAUGGCGGAACAUCCACAAGUAAACCUCACAGUCAUUCGAUUUCUGCAAUUUGGAUGUGACAAUGCAAGGGAAAGAAAAUUCGACAAUGACGUUAUAGACGAGUUCAAACGCAAUACUGCACAUAACAAAAGAAUUGAGUAUAGAGAAGAGUUGGUGAGGGAUGGGGAAGGGCUUGCUACAGUGAUAAAGGACUUUGGCAGAAGAUUUGAUCUUAUUAUGGUGGGGAAACACCAUAAAAGGGACUCUCGACUAUUAAGUGGGCUAAAUGAGUGGAAUGAAUGCCCGGAGCUAGGUAUCGUUGGUGACAUGCUAGCCUCACCAGACUUCAAGGGUAUGUGUUCUGUAUUGGUCGUGCAACAGGCCAGAGUAAGACCAAACCUUAAAAAUCGCAGCUCAAGGGAAUUUCCAAUUGAGAAUAGCGUAGCAGUAGUGUAGCACAUGGACAAUUUCCAUGGACAAAAAAAGUUUGAGGUUUGACAGUAACCUCUUACUUACAACUUUUGCUACUAUAGGUCCCUCUCACCCUUUUUUUUUUAGCAUAAACUUUUGUAUAGAACAAUAGAAUGAAUUUUAGAUAUCAUGUUUUCAAUUUUUAGAUUACUUUGUACGUAGUUUGUACUACCGUAAGCAUAAAGCGUAGAGUUGAAAAUGUUGAUAUAGAUUACUAGACUACUGGUUGUAGCAUUUUAACAAACACUUUACGGACUUAAUAAGUUUGUUAUACCGGACUAUAAAAGCGCAUUAUAUAUUCAUUUGUAAAAGCAAUCACAAAUAAAGAAUCAAUAAUUGAAACAUCAAACAUAUAAUCCAGCAGCAGUUAAAGAUAUAACAAGCAACAGAUAUUAAUAAAUGAACAUACCUUUGUUUCGCAACCUAUAAAAGCCUAUCGGAUUUGGAAAACGCAAUCCCUGGCAUGAACUUCUUGAAGACUUGAACAUCUCAUACUCAAGGAGAGAGUGUCUUAAAUUCAAAUUUUCAAAUUAUGUUACACAUACACACUACUACUGUACUACACCUUGAGAUAUGUAGUAAAAUACUAGUAAUGUGUAUCUUAAUAAUUUUAGAUCAUUUAAUUUUGACCAAGCAUGCAAUUGAGUAAUAAAAAAGUUUGACCAGCGCUCAUUACUCUCAACCAUAACUAUAGAUCAUGCACGUACAGUGCUCACCGUUGCCUUAGCUUAGUUAUCUCACUUCUCUCUCUCUCUCUCUCUCUCU